This 465-nucleotide ribosomal RNA is filed under the name Vreelandella stevensii. RNAcentral describes it as "partial 16S ribosomal RNA". It matches the Rfam family "Bacterial small subunit ribosomal RNA", at positions 338 to 795 of the family's 1533-position model. The record is from RNAcentral. Lineage: Bacteria; Pseudomonadati; Pseudomonadota; Gammaproteobacteria; Oceanospirillales; Halomonadaceae.
CCUACGGGGGGCAGCAGUGGGGAAUAUUGGACAAUGGGGGGAACCCUGAUCCAGCCAUGCCGCGUGUGUGAAGAAGGCCCUCGGGUUGUAAAGCACUUUCAGUGAGGAAGAACGCCUGGUGGUUAAUACCCAUCAGGAAAGACGUCACUCACAGAAGAAGCACCGGCUAACUCCGUGCCAGCAGCCGCGGUAAUACGGAGGGUGCGAGCGUUAAUCGGAAUUACUGGGCGUAAAGCGCGCGUAGGUGGCUUGAUAAGCCGGUUGUGAAAGCCCCGGGCUCAACCUGGGAACGGCAUCCGGAACUGUCAAGCUAGAGUGCAGGAGAGGAAGGUAGAAUUCCCGGUGUAGCGGUGAAAUGCGUAGAGAUCGGGAGGAAUACCAGUGGCGAAGGCGGCCUUCUGGACUGACACUGACACUGAGGUGCGAAAGCGUGGGUAGCAAACAGGAUUAGAUACCCGAGUAGUC